UGUAGCUUGAUCAGUUGGUUAGAGUGCUGCACUGAAAUCACAAGGGCGCAGAUUCGAUUCCUGCCAGCUAUAA
Non-coding RNA from Paramuricea clavata, 73 nucleotides. Lineage: Eukaryota; Metazoa; Cnidaria; Anthozoa; Malacalcyonacea; Plexauridae. The record is from the annotation of a GenBank genome assembly.